GACGAACGCUGGCGGCGUGCUUAACACAUGCAAGUUGAACGAAGUACCUCGAGUUUACUCUUGGUAACUUAGUAGCGGACGGGUGAGUAACGCGUGAAUAACCUACCUUUGUGAGGGGGACAACAGCUGGAAACGGCUGCUAAUACCGCAUAAGACCACGGUGUCGAGUGACACAGUGGUAAAAGAUUUAUCACACAAAGAUGGAUUCGCGUCCCAUUAGCUAGUUGGUAAGGUAACGGCUUACCAAGGCGACGAUGGGUAGCCGACCUGAGAGGGUGAUCGGCCACACUGGAACUGAGACACGGUCCAGACUCCUNACGGGAGGCAGCAGUGGGGAAUAUUGGGCAAUGGGCGAAAGCCUGACCCAGCAACGCCGCGUGAGGGAAGAAUGUCUUCGGAUUGUAAACCUCUGUCCUUGGGGACGAAAAAAAUGACGUACCCAAGGAGAAGCUACCGCUAACU
RNAcentral lists this ribosomal RNA (462 nucleotides) under uncultured bacterium. RNAcentral describes it as "bacterial SSU rRNA". It matches the Rfam family "Bacterial small subunit ribosomal RNA", at positions 28 to 502 of the family's 1533-position model. The record is from RNAcentral.